RNAcentral lists this ribosomal RNA (459 nucleotides) under uncultured bacterium. Its description in RNAcentral is "partial 16S ribosomal RNA". It matches the Rfam family "Bacterial small subunit ribosomal RNA", at positions 339 to 795 of the family's 1533-position model. The record is from RNAcentral.
CUACGGGGGGCUGCAGUGAGGAAUAUUGGUCAAUGGCCGAGAGGCUGAACCAGCCAAGUCGCGUGAGGGAAGACGGCCCUACGGGUUGUAAACCUCUUUUGCCGGGGAGCAGAGGUCCGGACGUGUCCGGGCCGGGAGAGUACCCGGAGAAAAAGCAUCGGCUAACUCCGUGCCAGCAGCCGCGGUAAUACGGAGGAUGCGAGCGUUAUCCGGAUUUAUUGGGUUUAAAGGGUGCGUAGGCGGGCAUUUAAGCCGGCGGUCAAAUGUCGGGGCUCAACCCCGGCCUGCCGUCGGAACUGGGUGCCUUGAGUGGGCGAGAAGUAUGCGGAAUGCGUGGUGUAGCGGUGAAAUGCAUAGAUAUCACGCAGAACCCCGAUUGCGAAGGCAGCAUACCGGCGCCCUACUGACGCUGAGGCACGAAAGUGCGGGUAUCGAACAGGAUUAGAUACCCUGGUAGUC